RNAcentral lists this ribosomal RNA (446 nucleotides) under uncultured bacterium. RNAcentral's name for it is "bacterial SSU rRNA". It matches the Rfam family "Bacterial small subunit ribosomal RNA", at positions 28 to 468 of the family's 1533-position model. The record is from RNAcentral.
GACGAACGCUGGCGGCGUGCUUAACACAUGCAAGUCGAGCGGUAAGGCCCUUUCGGGGGUACACGAGCGGCGAACGGGUGAGUAACACGUGGGUGACCUGCCCUCAGCUCUGGGAUAAGCCUGGGAAACCGGGUCUAAUACUGGAUAUGACUCCAUGACGCAUGUUGUGGGGUGGAAAGCCUUGUGCGGCUGAGGAUGGGCCCGCGGCCUAUCAGCUUGUUGGUAGGGUAAUGGCCUACCAAGGCGACGAUCGGUAGCUGGUCUGAGAGGACGACCAGCCACACUGGGACUGAGACACGGCCCAGACUCCUACGGGAGGCAGCAGGUGGGGAAUAUUGGACAAUGGGCGCAAGCCUGAUCCAGCGAUGCCGCGUGUGUGGAGAAGGCCUGCGGGUUGUAAAGCACUUUCAGUAGGGAAGAAAAGCCGAGUGCUAAUAUCACUCGGU